AUUGAACGCUGGCGGCAUGCUUUACACAUGCAAGUCGAACGGUAACAGGCCUUCGGGUGCUGCCGAGUGGCGAACGGGUGAGUAAUGCAUCGGAACGUACCCAGAGGUGGGGGAUAACGCAGCGAAAGCUGUGCUAAUACCGCAUGUGAUCUGAGGAUGAAAGCGGGGGACCGAGCAGCAAUGUUUGGCCUCGCGCCCUUGGAGCGGCCGAUGUCGGAUUAGCUAGUUGGUGGGGUAAAGGCCUACCAAGGCGACGAUCCGUAGCUGGUCUGAGAGGACGACCAGCCACACUGGGACUGAGACACGGCCCAGACUCCUACGGGAGGCAGCAGUGGGGAAUUUUGGACAAAGGGCGCAAGCCUGAUCCAGCAAUGCCGCGUGCGGGAAGAAGGCCUUCGGGUUGUAAACCGCUUUUGGCAGGAACGAAACGGUGUCCGCUAAUACCGGGCGCUAAUGACGGUACCUGCAGAAUAAGCACCGGCUAACUACGUG
RNAcentral lists this ribosomal RNA (492 nucleotides) under uncultured bacterium. Its description in RNAcentral is "partial 16S ribosomal RNA". It matches the Rfam family "Bacterial small subunit ribosomal RNA", at positions 29 to 507 of the family's 1533-position model. The record is from RNAcentral.